Molecule: ribosomal RNA, 794 nt
Filed under: uncultured bacterium
Lineage: Bacteria
Description: bacterial SSU rRNA
Rfam family: Bacterial small subunit ribosomal RNA
Source: RNAcentral
ACGGGUGAGUAACACGUGGGCAACCUGCCCUAAGGAGCGGGAUAACACCAGGAAACUGGUGCUAAUACCGCAUAAUGAGUCUCUGGCGCAUGCCAGAGCCUUCAAAGAUUUAUCGCCUUAGGAUGGGCCCGCGUCCCAUUAGCCAGUUGGUGAGGUAACGGCCCACCAAAGCUACGAUGGGUAGCCGACCUGAGAGGGUGAUCGGCCACAUUGGAACUGAGACACGGUCCAGACUCCUACGGGAGGCAGCAGUGGGGAAUAUUGCACAAUGGGGGAAACCCUGAUGCAGCAACGCCGCGUGAGCGAUGAAGGCCUUCGGGUUGUAAAGCUCUGUCUUCGCUGACGAUAAUGACGGUAAGCGAGGAGGAAGCCACGGCUAACUACGUGCCAGCAGCCGCGGUAAUACGUAGGUGGCAAGCGUUGUCCGGAAUUACUGGGCGUAAAGGAUGCGUAGGCGGCCUCUUAAGUGGGAUGUGAAAUGCCGGGGCUUAACCCCGGAGGUGCAUUCCAUACUGGGAGGCUAGAGUGCAGGAGAGGAAAGCGGAAUUCCCAGUGUAGCGGUGAAAUGCGUAGAGAUUGGGAGGAACACCAGUGGCGAAGGCGGCUUUCUGGACUGUAACUGACGCUGAGGCAUGAAAGUGUGGGGAGCAAACAGGAUUAGAUACCCUGGUAGUCCACACCGUAAACGAUGGGCACUAGGUGUAGGGGGCGUAGCCCUCUGUGCCGCAGUUAACACAUUAAGUGCCCCGCCUGGGGAGUACGAUCGCAAGAUUAAAACUCAAAGGAAUUGACGG